CGUCAAAGUAGAAAGGGCGUACGGUGGAUGCCUAGGCACCAAGGGCCGAAGAAGGACGCGGCAGGCGGCGAAACGCCCCGGGGAGCUGCGAGCAAGCUGUGAUCCGGGGGUAUCCGAAUGGGGAAACCCACUCCGGGUAAUGCCGGAGUAUCCCUAAGGGGAAACUCUUAGGGAGGGGAACCAGGGGAACUGAAACAUCUUAGUACCCUGAGGAAAAGAAAGAGAAAUUCGAUUCCCUGAGUAGUGGUGAGCGAAAGGGGAAGAGCCUAAACCUGUGUGGUGUAGAAGCUCGCGGGCGUUGCCACACAGGGGUAGAGGGAUAAGGUCGGGGAAAGCCGCGACUUUCCCGUAGGCGAUGUACACAUAGCCGAAUGGUCUGGGAAGGCCAGCCAGAGAGGGUGAGAGCCCCGUAGGCGAAAUGUGUACUAAGCCUAUGGACCUUACUCCCGAGUAGCGUGGGACACGGGGAAUCCUGCGCGAAUCUGGGCGGACCACCGCCUAAGGCUAAAUACCCUUGGUGACCGAUAGCGCAUAGUACCGUGAGGGAAAGGUGAAAAGAACCCCGGAGAGGGGAGUGAAAUAGAACCUGAAACCGUACGUCCACAAGGAGUAGGAGAGCGAUGCUCAAAGGAGGUUAAACACCUUCUUUGAGCUGGCUCGACUGCGUGCCUGUUGAAGAAUGAGCCGGCGAGUUGAUGCGUGUGGCGAGGUUAAGGGAGUGGAGUCCCGGAGCCGAAGUGAAAGCGAGCCUGAAUAGGGCGCUAAGUCACACGCAUCAGACCCGAAACCAGGCGAGCUACCCAUGGCCAGGAUGAAGCGGGGUUAACCCCCCGUGGAGGUCCGAACCCGUUAGCAGUGAAAAGCUAUGGGAUGAGCUGUGGGUAGGAGUGAAAAGCUAAUCGAGCCUGGAGAUAGCUGGUUCUCCCCGAAAUAGCUUUAGGGCUAGCCUCAGCCGAAGAAGCUCAGGGAGGUAGAGCACUGGUUGGGCGAGGGGCGGGGAUCCGCUGCCGAGUCCAGUCAAACUCCGAAUGCCCUGAGUGGAUGGCUGGGAGUCGGACUGUGGGGGAUAAGCUCCAUAGUCGAGAGGGGAACAGCCCAGAUCAACAGCUAAGGUCCCAAAGUCCGGGCUAAGUGGUAAAGGAGGUAGCUUGGCGAAGACAGUCAGGAUGUUGGCUUAGAAGCAGCCAUCAUUCAAAGAGUGCGUAAUAGCUCACUGAUCGAGCCAAGCUGCGCCGAAAAUACACGGGGCUAAAGCCCGGCACCGAAGCUUUGGGUUCUACCUAUCUUCGGGUAGGUAGGGCGGUAGGGGAGCGUUCCGCUGUAGGGAGAAGGCGGACCGGAAGGACCGCUGGACGAGGCGGAAGUGAGAAUGCCGGCAUGAGUAGCGAAAAGGAGGGUGAGAAUCCCUCCCACCGAAAGCCCGAGGUUUCCUGGGUAAAGCUCGUCUUCCCAGGGUUAGGCGGGAGCUAAGCCGAGGCCGAAAGGCGUAGGUGAUGCACAGCCGGUUAAUAUUCCGGCCCCACCUACUGACCGUUAUUACCGAAGGAGGGACGCAGGAGGGUAGGUGCGCCUGGUGGUGACAUACCAGGUCCAAGCCCCAAGGGAGGGAGUGUAGGCAAAUCCGCACUCCUGUUGAACUGAGGGGUGAUGGGGAGUCCUCGAGAGAGGGCGAAGGCAUCGAGCUCACACUGCCGAGAAAAGCUCCUAGGGAGGUCAGUGGGUGCCCGUACCGCAAACCGACACAGGUGGGCGAGGUGAAGAUCCAAAGGUGCGCGGGAUAACCCUCGUUAAGGAACUCGGCAAAAUGGCCCCGUACGUUCGCAAGAAGGGGUGCCCGAGUAAGGUGAAUAGCCUGAAAGGGCCGCAGUGAAGUGGCUCUGGGGACUGUUUACCAAAAACACAGGUCUCUGCUAAGGCGUAGAAGCCGAUGUAUAGGGGCUGAGGCCUGCCCGGUGCUGGAAGGUUAAGGGGAAGGGUUAGGGUGAAGAACCCGAAGCCCUGAACCGAAGCCCCAGUGAACGGCGGCCGUAACUAUAACGGUCCUAAGGUAGCGAAAUUCCUUGUCGGGUAAGUUCCGACCCGCAUGAAAGGCAUAACCACUGGAGCGCUGUCUCAACGAGGGGCCCGGUGAAAUUAGAGUGUCCGUGAAGAUACGGACUACCCGUGGCAGGACGGAAAGACCCCGUGAAGCUUUACUGUAGCCUGGCAUUGAACUCUGGCACUGCAUGUAGAGGAUAGGUGGGAGGCAGAGAAGCGGGGGCGCCAGCCUCCGUGGAGCCGCCGGUGGAAUACCACCCUUGUGGUGUUGGGGUUCUAACCCCAAAAGAAGAGCCUUUUGGGGGACAGUGCUUGGUGGGCAGUUUGACUGGGGCGGUCGCCUCCUAAAGGGUAACGGAGGCGCCCAAAGGUAGGCUUGGCACGGUUAGAAAUCGUGCCUGAAGUGUAAGGGCGUUAAGCCUGCCUGACUGUGAGGCCGACGGGCCGAGCAGAGACGAAAGUCGGGCCUAGUGAUCCGGUGGUCCCGAGUGGAAGGGCCAUCGCUCAACGGAUAAAAGUUACUCCGGGGAUAACAGGCUGAUCUCGCCCGAGAGUCCACAUCGACGGCGAGGUUUGGCACCUCGAUGUCGGCUCACCGCAUCCUGGGGCUGGAGAAGGUCCCAAGGGUUGGGCUGUUCGCCCAUUAAAGCGGUACGUGAGCUGGGUUCAGAACGUCGUGAGACAGUUCGGUCCCUAUCCGCCACGGGCGAAGGAAACUUGAGGGGAACUGCUCCUAGUACGAGAGGACCGGAGCAGGCGGACCUCUGGUGUACCAGUUGUGCCGUCAGGUGCAGGAGCUGGGUAGCCAAGUCCGUACGGGAUAAGCGCUGAAAGCAUCUAAGCGCGAAGCCCACCCCAAGAUAAGGUUUCCCACGGGGGAAGCCCGGUAAGGCACCUCCGAGAAGAGGAGGUAGAUAGGCCGGAGGUGGAAGCGCAGCAAUGCGUGGAGCCGACCGGUACUAAUAUGCCGAGGCUUUGACGCC
This is a ribosomal RNA of Dictyoglomus turgidum DSM 6724, 3020 nucleotides long. It matches the Rfam family "Bacterial large subunit ribosomal RNA". The record is from Rfam. Lineage: Bacteria; Pseudomonadati; Dictyoglomota; Dictyoglomia; Dictyoglomales; Dictyoglomaceae.